Molecule: ribosomal RNA, 231 nt
Filed under: uncultured bacterium
Lineage: Bacteria
Description: partial 16S ribosomal RNA
Rfam family: Bacterial small subunit ribosomal RNA
Source: RNAcentral
UACGAAGGGGGCUAGCGUUGCUCGGAAUCACUGGGCGUAAAGGGUGCGUAGGCGGGUCUUUAAGUCAGGGGUGAAAUCCUGGAGCUCAACUCCAGAACUGCCUUUGAUACUGAGGAUCUUGAGUUCGGGAGAGGUGAGUGGAACUGCGAGUGUAGAGGUGAAAUUCGUAGAUAUUGGGAAGAACACCGGUGGGCGAAGGCGGCGCUCUGGACCGAGACUGAGCGCAUGAGG